RNAcentral lists this ribosomal RNA (497 nucleotides) under uncultured bacterium. Its description in RNAcentral is "partial 16S ribosomal RNA". It matches the Rfam family "Bacterial small subunit ribosomal RNA", at positions 28 to 507 of the family's 1533-position model. The record is from RNAcentral.
GAUGAACGCUGGCGGCGUGCCUAAUACAUGCAAGUCGAGCGAACAGACGAGGAGCUUGCUCCUCUGACGUUAGCGGCGGACGGGUGAGUAACACGUGUAUAACCUACCUAUAAGACUGGGAUAACUUCGGGAAACCGGAGCUAAUACCGGAUAAUAUAUUGAACCGCAUGGGUCAAUAGUGAAAGACGGUGUUUCGGGCAGUUAUAGAUGGUUCCGCGCGGCAUUAGAUAGUUGGUAAGGUAAAGGCUUACCAAGGGGAGGAUGCGUAGGCGAGCGGAGAGGCUGGUAGGCGACAUUGGAACUGAGCCACGGUCAAUGCUCCUAAGGUAGGGAGCAGACGGGAAUGUUACGCAAUGGGGGAAAAUUUGACGGAGCAAGGCGGAGUGAGUGAUGACGGUCUUCGGAUCGUAAAACCCUCUUAUUAGGGAAGAACAAAUGUGUAAGUAAAUAUGCACGUCUUGACGGUAACUAAUCAGAAAGCAACGGCUAACUACGUG